GUCUGUCUGCAUAGGUAGACAGUAUAAAACAGGGUCAGCACAGCAAAGGGCCAUAACAGUCGACAUGAAGUCCAUCGUUGUGCUUCUGGGAGUAGUGGUCAUCAGCCUUGCCGUAUCCGCCCAACCUUGUGUCAGGCCAGGCCUGUGUCCCAGUCACCGUCUGCUAUUCACCGUCCGUUCGAAGAGGAAUGAGUGUUUUAAAGACUGUCCAUUGCAACGCCAGCCAUCACGGCGGGUUCUGGAAGUGCUGCCGGACUUCCUUUGGCAACCUCUGUCUGCCGCCGUGUCGUCCCUCGUGCUUCGUCUCCCAGGUGUGCGCGCUGAUAACCCAGUCACAUCCGUGGACGGCCAUCUGCGUGCCUCGCCCUCCCCUCGUGAAGGGUUAGCUGUUGUCGUAGGAAGUGCAGGUGCAACGGCGAUCGGACAUGUUCAGAUUCCUGCAGCUGGAGAGCAGACACAGUCUCUUGGCAGAUGGUGUCGUUUGUUGUCGCACAGUAGUCAUAGUUGGGAGCUGCAGGGACGUUUGUAUACUGCGCUUGUAGCAUGGGGUUUCGAUAUACCGCAGUGUCAUGAAGUUGCACCUAUAUUUGCUUCUUCGCCUGUGUGUGCGCUGGGUGACAAAACGUGAAUGUUGUUCAGCCCCGUCCGCACACUGGUGCGUUUGAUGUCGAAUACACGCGUUAAGAUUGA
Long non-coding RNA from Pollicipes pollicipes, 690 nucleotides. RefSeq lists it as uncharacterized. The record is from RefSeq and is a predicted model, not a curated record. The transcript is spliced from 2 exons. NCBI's taxonomy places the organism in Eukaryota, Metazoa, Arthropoda, Thecostraca, Pollicipedomorpha, Pollicipedidae.